This 72-nucleotide transfer RNA is filed under the name Bos taurus (domestic cattle). It matches the Rfam family "tRNA". Rfam says of the family: Transfer RNA (tRNA) molecules are approximately 80 nucleotides in length. Their secondary structure includes four short double-helical elements and three loops (D, anti-codon, and T loops). RNAcentral also lists the same sequence under 5 other names. The record is from Rfam by way of RNAcentral. Lineage: Eukaryota; Metazoa; Chordata; Mammalia; Artiodactyla; Bovidae.
UCCCUGAUGGCUCAGAUGGUAAAGUGUCUCCUUGCAAUGUGGGAGACCUGGGUUCGAUCCCUGGUUUGGGAA